This 576-nucleotide ribosomal RNA is filed under the name uncultured bacterium. RNAcentral describes it as "bacterial SSU rRNA". It matches the Rfam family "Bacterial small subunit ribosomal RNA", at positions 102 to 674 of the family's 1533-position model. The record is from RNAcentral.
ACGGGUGAGUAAUACAUCGGAACGUAUCCUGGAGUGGGGGAUAGCCCGGCGAAAGCCGGAUUAAUACCGCAUACGCUCUGAGGAGGAAAGCGGGGGACCUUCGGGCCUCGCGCUCAAGGGGCGGCCGAUGGCGGAUUAGGUAGUUGGUGGGGUAAAGGCCUACCAAGCCGACGAUCCGUAGCUGGUCUGAGAGGACGACCAGCCACACUGGGACUGAGACACGGCCCAGACUCCUACGGGAGGCAGCAGUGGGGAAUUUUGGACAAUGGGGGCAACCCUGAUCCAGCAAUGUCGCGUGUGUGAAGAAGGCCUUCGGGUUGUAAAGCACUUUUGUCCGGAAAGAAAUCAUCGGGGCCAAUACCCCUGGUGGAUGACGGUACCGGAAGAAUAAGCACCGGCUAACUACGUGCCAGCAGCCGCGGUAAUACGUAGGGUGCGAGCGUUAAUCGGAAUUACUGGGCGUAAAGCGUGCGCAGGCGGUGCUGUAAGACCGAUGUGAAAUCCCCGGGCUUAACCUGGGAACUGCAUUGGUGACUGCAGCGCUGGAGUAUGGCAGAGGGGGGUGGAAUUCCACGU